This 218-nucleotide ribosomal RNA is filed under the name uncultured bacterium. RNAcentral describes it as "partial 16S ribosomal RNA". It matches the Rfam family "Bacterial small subunit ribosomal RNA", at positions 1283 to 1500 of the family's 1533-position model. The record is from RNAcentral.
ACGUCUCAGUUCAGAUUGCAGGCUGCAACUCGCCUGCAUGAAGUCGGAAUUGCUAGUAAUCGCAGAUCAGCAUGCUGCGGUGAAUACGUUCCCGGGCCUUGUACACACCGCCCAUCACACCAUGGGAGUCGGUAACACCCGAAGUCGGUAGCCUAACCGUAAGGAGGGCGCCGCCGAAGGUGGGAUUGAUGACUGGGGUGAAGUCGUAACAAGGUAGC